Long non-coding RNA from Cebus imitator (Panamanian white-faced capuchin), 508 nucleotides. RefSeq lists it as uncharacterized. The record is from RefSeq and is a predicted model, not a curated record. The transcript has 3 exons. Lineage: Eukaryota; Metazoa; Chordata; Mammalia; Primates; Cebidae.
ACACUAUUAUAAGUACAUAGAAGAGUGUCAUUUACAGCUGGUGUGGCCCUGUGGUGGUAUGGACCCAGACUUUUAAGCACAGAUAAAGAUCAGACAGACACUGAUGUCCCGAAUCUGAUAAAGAAAUGAAGAAUUCAGAGCCGGAUCCUAACCUCAAGCUAAGAAAUAAAAAAAGGAAGAAAAAAUCAAGAAGCUCAGAACAGAACUCCAGCAAUACUGAACACAGGAGCAUGGACCAUCAGGCUGCUCGUAGACUUCAGGAUCUUUUCAACCAGUUCUACAGGCAGAUAGAGGGCCAUCCCCACCACAAUCUCUACCACAACCAUCUCUUCCUAGAGGAUGUUUUACUCCUUCUCCAACUCCUUUACAUGAACUAAGUAGGAAACCAUCAUCAUGACCGUCACCCUUGCAGACAGCCUGUACUACAACCUUUGUUAAGAGACCUACUCUCCAGGAUCCCCACCUGCUAUCUUACGGAGUGAAAUAGAAAUAAAUGUGUUAGCCUCAA